RNAcentral lists this ribosomal RNA (531 nucleotides) under Trametes sp. RNAcentral's name for it is "LSU rRNA". It matches the Rfam family "Eukaryotic large subunit ribosomal RNA", at positions 120 to 635 of the family's 3401-position model. The record is from RNAcentral. Lineage: Eukaryota; Fungi; Basidiomycota; Agaricomycetes; Polyporales; Polyporaceae.
AUCUGGCGGUCUUUGGCCGUCCGAGUUGUAGUCUGGAGAAGCGUCUUCCGCGUUGGACCGUGUACAAGUCUCUUGGAACAGAGCGUCAUAGAGGGUGAGAAUCCCGUCUUUGACACGGACUAACAAUGCUUUGUGAUGCGCUCUCAAAGAGUCGCGUUGUUUGGGAAUGCAGCGCAAAAUGGGAGGUGAAUUCCUUCUAAAGCUAAAUAUUGGCGAGAGACCGAUAGCGAACAAGUACCGUGAGGGAAAGAUGAAAAGCACUUUGGAAAGAGAGUUAAACAGUACGUGAAAUUGCUGAAAGGGAAACGCUUGAAGUCAGUCGCGUCGUCCGGAACUCAGCCUUGCUUCGGCUUGGUGCACUUUCCGGUUGACGGGCCAGCAUCGAUUUUGACCGCUGGAAAAGGGCUGGAGGAAUGUGGCACCUUCGGGUGUGUUAUAGCCUUCAGUCGCAUACAGCGGUUGGGAUCGAGGAACGCAGCACGCCUUAUGGCUGGGGUUCGCCCACAUUCGUGCUUAGGAUGCUGGCAUAAU